Molecule: long non-coding RNA, 5476 nt
Filed under: Hordeum vulgare
Lineage: Eukaryota; Viridiplantae; Streptophyta; Magnoliopsida; Poales; Poaceae
Description: long non-coding RNA (HVUL_LNC009129)
Source: RNAcentral
UCGGGGAUUUUAUUCCAUUUGGACUCCGUUCCAAAAUCAGAUCUGAAAAGAGUCAAAAACACAGAAAAAACAAGAACUGACACUUGGCACUGAAUUAAUAAGUUAGUCCCAAAAAAGAUAUAAAAGGUAUAUAAAACAUCCAAAGUAGACAAGAUAAGAGCAUGAAACCAUCAAAAAUGAUAGAUACGUUUGAGACGUAUCAAGCAUCCCCAAGCUUAACUCCUGCUCGUCCUCGAGUAGGGAAGUGAUAAAUAAUGAAUUUUUUAUGCUUUCAUGCCACCUAGCAUAGAUGUCCUUUGUAACUCCUCUUAUGUGACAUGAACUUUCAAAUCCGUUAGAUUCAAAACAAUAGUUUGCUAUUGACGUGGAGACAAUAAUACUUCAAGCAAACUAGCAAGGUAAUCAUGAACUUUCAAAAUAACAAGGCCAAAAGAAAGUUAGACCUACAAAAUCAUAUAGUCUGGCUAUGCUCUAUCAUCCUUGCACAACGAAUUUAAAUCAUGCACAACCUCGGUAUUGGCCAAGUAAUUGUUUUCACACCUUUACUCUCUCAAACCUUUUCAACUCUCACGCAAUACAUGAGCGUGAGCCAUGGUUUUAGCACUAUAAGUGGAAUGGAGUGUGGUGGAGGUUGCAAGGCAAACAAGGAGAAGAUGGUCACAUUGACUAGGCAAAUCAAUGAGCUAUGGAGAUGUUCAUCAAUAGAUAUCAAUGUGAAUGAGUAGGGAUUGCCAUACAAAUGAUGCACUAGAGCUAAGAGUAUGUGAAAACUCUUAAAGAAAACUAGUGGGUGUGCAUCCAACUUGCUUGCUCACGAAGACCUAAGGCGAUUUUGAGGAAGCCCGUCAUUGGAAUAUACAAGCCAAGUUAUAUAAUGAAAAUUUCCCACUAGCUAUAUGGUGGUGACAAAACGAGAGACUCUCAACCAUGAAGACCAUGGUGCUUAAUAUGAAGCACAAGUGUGGAAAGGAGAUAGUAUCAUUGUCCCUUCUCUCUUUUUCUCUCAUUUUUUUGGUGGGCUCUUUGGCCUCUUUUUUUUGGGCAUCUUUGGCCUCUUUUUGUAAAUGGGCUUCGCUGGCCUCUUUUAUUUCCUCACAUGGGACAAUGCUCCAUCAUUGAUGACCAUCACACUUACAACUCAAAACUUAGAGCAAUGAUGACUCUAUAUGAAACGCCUUCGCUAGUGUACCGUGACAAUGAUCUAGCAUGGCAUAGACAUCAAUGGAAACAUCAUGCUAGUUAUCUUAUGAUCAUGCAAUGGCAAUGUAGAAGUGGUGGCACAUGUCAUGGUGGUAGUUGCAUGGCAAUAUAUCUCAGAGUGGCUUUGAAAAAGCCAUAGUAGGUAGGUAUGGUGGCUGUUUUGAGGGAGGCUAAUGGUGGUUUUAUGCACCGGCGAAAGUUGCACGACACUAAAGAAGAUAGUGAUGGUGGAAGGUGAAAGUGCAUCUAAACCAUGGACUCAACAUUAGUCAUGAAGAACUCAUAUACUUGUUGCAAAAGUUUUACUAGUAAUCGAAACAAAGCAUUCAACGCAUACUCCUAGGGGAAGGGUUGGUAGGUAUAAACCAUCACGCGAUCCCGACCGCUACACAAAGGAUGACAAUCAAUAAACUAAUCAUGCUCAGACUUCAUCACAUAGUGGUUCACCAUGCGUGCAUGCUACGGGAAUCACUAACUUAAACACAAGUAUUUCUAGAUCCACAACACCUUACUGUUAUAACUUCAAUAUUAUCACAACCACAACUCAAAACUAAUUGAGAUGAAUCAAACUUCUCUAACUACUCAAUGCACAUGAAGGUGGAAGUUUUCAUAUCCCUUUGGAUAACUACCCCUUUUGAGACUACUUUCAUAGCAUAGAUCAACUACCACGCCACGCACUUCCGUGCUCUAAAAGAUAGAAGUGAAACACAUAGAGCAAAAUCAACUAGCUAGAAAGAUAUAAGUGAAACACAUGUGAGCUGAAUUGUCUAACCAAAGGAUAUAAGUGAAGCUCGACAAAAUCACGGUGAGUGCAUGUCUAUCUCUCUAGGUGUGCAGCAAGGAAGAUUGUGACACAACAAAAAUAAAAGACUCCUACGAUACAAGACGCUCCAAGCAAAACACAUAACAUGUGGUGCAUAAAAAUAUAGCCCCAAGUAACGUUACCGAUGGAUUGAAGACGAAAGAGGGGAUGCCUUCCCGGGGCAUCCCCAAGCUUAGGUUUCGGCAUCCUUGAAUCAACUUGGGGUGCCUUGGGCAUCCCCAAGCUUGAGCUCUUCCCACUCUUUAUCUCUUUGUCCAUAAGAACUUCACCCAAAACUUGAAAACUUCACAACACGAAACUUAAACAGAAACUCGUGAUAACAUUAGUAUAAGAAAGCAAACCACCACUUCCUUCGGUACUAUAGCAAACUUAAAUUCUACUCAUGUUGAUGUUGGAUUACUGUAUUUUCAAUCUUCCAUGGCUAAUACCCCCCGAUACUAUCCAUAGUUUCAUCAAAAUAAGCAACCAACUCAACAAAAACAGAAUCUGUUAACAGUAGACCAGUCUGUAGCAAUCUGUAUACUUCGUAUACUUCUGGUACAUCAAAAGUUCUGAAAAAUUACUAUAGUCUGAAGAAUUUGCGUAGAAAUCAGCAGAAAAAAGAAUCAACUCAAAAUCUCUCACAGAAAAAAAAAAUCUUUUCGUGAGCAGAAAGUUUCUGUCUUUUCCAGCAUGACCAAACGAUCAUCCCCAAGACUAAUCAUAACGGUUUUACUUGGCACAAACGCAAAAGAAACACAAAAAACACAAUCAUAACAGAAUUAUGAAAGUGUAGAAAACACAAAAUAGAAAGAAAAAGGAUAGAUUCGUUGUGUUGCCUCCCAACAAGCGUUAUUGUUUAACGCCCUUAGCUAGGCAUUGAUAAUUCAAUGAUGCUCACACAAAAGAUAAGAAUUGAAGCACAACGAGAGCAUCAUAAAGCAUGUGAAAAUCACAUCUAAGUCUAACAUACUUCCUAUGCAUAGACAUUUUAUAGGGAAACAAAUUGGCAAGACAACCAAUAGUUACCAAAUGCAAGGAAGAAGAAAGAGACAAUAGCAAUCUCAACAUAACGAGAGGUAAUUUGGUAACAUGAAAGUUUCUACCAUAAUAUUUUCCUCUCUCAUAGCAAUUACAUGUGGGAUCAUAUUCAAAUUCAACAAUAUAGCUAUCCCAUAGGAUAUUAUUUUCAUGAUCCACAUGCAUGCAAAAUUGACGCUCUUCAAAAAUGGUGGGAUUAUCAUCAACUAAAGUCAUGACUUCUCCAAACCCACUUUCAAUAUUAUUGCAAAUAUCAUUGCAACAAGUAGUGGACAUAGCAAAACUAGCAUCCCCAAGCUUAGGGUUUUGCAUAUUUUUAGCAUGAUUGCCAUUAAUAGAAUUUCUAAUGAAAUCAUUACAAUCAUGCUUUUCAUUCAAGGAGCCCUCGUGAAUCACUUCAUAAAUUUCCUCAUCACGAUUUUCAGAUUCACGCAUCUCAAGCAAAACUCCAUAAAGAUAGUCAAGUCCACUCAACUCACUAGCAAUUGGAUCAACAUAAUUGGAUCUCUUAAAGAUAUUAGCAAGUGGAUGAGGAUCCAUAUCACUAGAUUUUCAGCAAGCGAAGAUGCAAGCAUAUUGAAGGCACAUAGCACACAAGCAAAGAAAAGGCAAGCGAAAGAAAAGGGCAAACGAAAAAAGCAAACGAAAAAGGUAAACGAAAAAGGAAAAUUGGUGAAGUGGGGGAGAGUAAAACGAGAGGCAACUAGCAAACAAAGUAAAUGCAAGAGAUGAGUUUGCCACACUUACUUGGAUAGAUCUUGACUUGAUCUCUCGCCGGCAACGGCACCAGAAAUCGGCGUGUUGACGGGAGAUUAUUCUUGUCUUGAUACUCCUCGGCAAACGAUCCUCCCCGGCAACGGCGCCAGAAAUCCUUCUACUGCUGGCUACGCCUAUAGGGAUUUCCUUGGCAAAUAUGCAAAGGAUUCCCCCGCGGCCUUGGAGCCUUGCGUUGGUGUUCCCUUGAAGAGGAAAGAUGAUGUAGCACAGUGGCGGUAAGUAUUUCCCUCAGUCUGAGAACCAAGGUAUCAAUCCAGUAGGAGGAUUGCAUCAAGUCACAAGUACCUGCACAAACACAAAGAGCUUGCACCCAACGCUAUGAAGGGGUUAUCAAUCCCUUAUAGAUUGUUUGCAAAGUGAGAACUGAAAGCAAAAAGUAAACAAAGCAAAGUAAAAGUAAAAGCUGAGAUGAUAAUUGUGAGUAGACCCGGGGGCCGUAGUGUUCACUAGUGGCUUCUCUCAUGAAAGCAAGUAGACGGUGGGUGAACGAAUUACUCUCGAGCAAUUGAUAGAACCGUGCAAAGUCAUGACGCUAUCUAUGGCAAUGAUCAUACAUAUAGGCAUCACGUCCGAAACAAGUAGACCGAUACUUUGUGCAUCUACUACUAUUACUCCAGACGUCGACCGCUAUCUUGCAUGCAUCUAGUGUAUUGAGUUCAUAAGAACAGAGUAACGCCUUAAGCAAGAUGACAUGAUGUAGAUGGACAAUCUCAAAUCUAUGAUGAAACCCCAUCUUGUUACCCUUGAUGGCAACAACACGAUGCGUGCCUUGCUGCCCCUUCUGUCACUGGGAAAGGUCACCGCACGGUAUGAACCCAAAACCAAGCACUUCUCCCAUUGCAAGAAUCAUAGAUCUAGUUGGCCAAACAAAACCCAAGACUCGGAGAGACUUACAAGGAUAUCAAAUCAUGCAUAUAAGAAAUCAGCAAAGACUCAAAUAUAAUUCAUAGAUAAUCUGAUCACAAAUCCACAAUUCAUCGGAUCUCGACAAACACAUCGUCAAAGAGGAUUACAUCGGAUAGAUCUACAUGAAGAUCAUGGAGAACUUUGUAUUGAAGAUCCAAGAGAGAGAACAAGGCAUCUAGCUACUAACAACGGACCCGUAGGUCUGAAGUGGACUACUCACGAGUCAUCGGAGAGGCAAUGAUGUUGAUGUAGAAGCCCUCCAGCUCCAAAGCCCCCUCCGGCAGGACACCGGGAAGGGUCUCCAGAUGAGAUCUCGCGGAAACGGAAGGUUAUGGCGGCGGAAAAGUGGUUUCAUGGACGCCCUUAUUUUUUCUGGGAUUUUAGGGAAUAUAUAGGCCAAAGAGCUAGGGCAGGGGAGCUCCAGGGAGGCCACAAGCCUGGUAGCCGCGGCCCCCUUGGCCGCGGCUACAGGGCUUGUGGGCUCCCUGUGGGCCUCCUGCCUUGGCCCUCAAGUCCCCCGAUCUUCUUCUGUUCUGGAAAAAAUCAUUUCGGGGAUUUUAUUCCAUUUGGACUCCGUUCCAAAAUCAGAUCUGAAAAGAGUCAAAAACACAGAAAAAACAGGAACUGGCACUUGGCUCUGAAUAAAUAAGUUAGUCCCAAAAAAGAUAUAAAAGGUAUAUAAAACAUCCAAAGUUGACAAGAUAACAUCAUGAAACCAUCAAAAAUUAUAGAUACGUUUGAGACGUAUCA